This is a long non-coding RNA of Tigriopus californicus, 527 nucleotides long. RefSeq lists it as uncharacterized. Lineage: Eukaryota; Metazoa; Arthropoda; Copepoda; Harpacticoida; Harpacticidae. The record is from RefSeq and is a predicted model, not a curated record. The transcript has 2 exons.
UCUAUGCAGCUAUAAAAGGCCACACGAAUGAAUCUUCAUCAUCAAUCCGUUUGGAAAGUACCAUUAACAACUUUCAAGGACACGCCCACCCCUUGUCGAAAAUGAAGUUCACCAUCAUCGUGGUCCUCUUUGUGGUCUGCACUUUGGCUCUUUUGGACACAGCCUCGGCCAAAUUUUGCACCAAAUAUAACUAUUAUUGCCCGGCGAGCUCCAACAAGUUGAUCAGCAGCUAUGAGCAAACCCAUAAUCGGAUGUACGAAUUAUACAAGUGCGAAAGGCAUUGUCUAUCCAAUAAAGCGCACUACGUUGUGUUUUCUCCCGGGAAAUGUGAGUGCUUUGCCACAUGUAAGAAUGAAGUGCAUCAAAAGUCCAGACGAAUUUCGCUCUUGUUUCCUUUGGGCAAAGAUGUUGACCAGCUCUGUGGAUAAAAUGUGCACUACGUUUGCCACCGUGUUUGAAUGAUAUUGAAAUGAAUAAACAAAUUGACGUGCCAUGACAAAUCCCGUUCAUGGCUUCUCUCUCGCGAA